Molecule: non-coding RNA, 358 nt
Organism: Meleagris gallopavo (turkey)
Lineage: Eukaryota; Metazoa; Chordata; Aves; Galliformes; Phasianidae
Source: RefSeq, a predicted model, not a curated record
CUGAGGUCACAAUGGCAGAUUCCCAGUUCCCAGGAAUGGAAGGAGGGGAUGCUGCCCUGCAUCCUGCUCCAGGAAAUUUGGACCAAGUGCGUGUGCAUAGAUGCUCAUAGCCUGCCAUCCACCAAAGCUACUGGUUCAAGAUGUCUCAUCUUCCAGGUUAUUAUUGCUCUGCUCUGUUACCCAGCAUUUCUCCUCAUGAACAGACAAACACUUCACAAUCUCUUGUAAACUGAGACAUCAAGCUGUCAAAGUCCCACUGGAAGUAUUUGCCUUGCAUGCUGUUCCUCACUGCACUUAAUGUGCCCAAUUCAUACUAAAGGAGUUGAUAACAUUGAAAAUAAAACCCAAAGUUGAAGCA